AGAGCGAACGCUGGCGGCAGGCCUAACACAUGCAAGUCGAGCGGCCGUAGCAAUACGGCAGCGGCAGACGGGAGAGUAACACGUGGGAACGCGCCCUUCGGUUCGGAAUAACUCAGGGAAACUUGGGCUAAUACCGGAUACGCCCUUACGGGGAAAGAUUUAUUGCCGAAGGAACGGCCCGCGUCCGAUUAGCUUGUUGGUGAGGUAACGGCUCACCAAGGCGACGAUCGGUAGCUGGUCUGAGAGGAUGACCAGCCUCACUGGGACUGAGACACGGCCCAGACUCCUACGGGAGGCAGCAGUGGGGAAUAUUGGACAAUGGGCGCAAGCCUGAUCCAGCCAUGCCGCGUGGGUGAUGAAGGCCCUAGGGUUGUAAAGCCCUUUCGGCGGGAAGAUAAUGACGGUACCCGCAGAAGAAGCCCGGCUAACUUCGCGCCAGCAGCCGC
This 446-nucleotide ribosomal RNA is filed under the name uncultured bacterium. Its description in RNAcentral is "SSU rRNA". It matches the Rfam family "Bacterial small subunit ribosomal RNA", at positions 26 to 518 of the family's 1533-position model. The record is from RNAcentral.